GAUGAACGCUGGCGGCGUGCCUAAUACAUGCAAGUCGAGCGAACAGACUAGGAGCUUGCUCCUCUGACGUUAGCGGCGGACGGGUGAGUAACACGUGGAUAACCUACCUAUAAGACUGGGAUAACUUCGGGAAACCGGAGCUAAUACCGGAUAAUAUAUUUAACCGCAUGGUUCAAUAUUGAAAGACGGUUUUGCCGUCACUUAUAGAUGGAUCCGCGCCGCAUUAGCUAGUUGGUAAGGUAACGGCUUACCAAGGCAACGAUGCGUAGCCGACCUGAGAGGGUAAUCGGCCAAACGGGAACUGAGACACGGUCCAGACUCCUACGGGAGGAAGCAGAAGGGAAUCUUCCGAAAUGGGCGAAAGCUUGACGGAGCAACGCCGCGUGAGUGAUGAAGGUCUUCGGAUCGUAAAACUCUGUUAUUAGGGAAGAACAAAUGUGUAAGUAACUAUGCACGUCGUGACGGUACCUAAUCAGAAAGCCACGGCUAACUACGUG
RNAcentral lists this ribosomal RNA (497 nucleotides) under uncultured bacterium. RNAcentral describes it as "partial 16S ribosomal RNA". It matches the Rfam family "Bacterial small subunit ribosomal RNA", at positions 28 to 507 of the family's 1533-position model. The record is from RNAcentral.